CACAAGCAGUGGAGUAUGUGGAUUAAUUCGAAGCAACGCGAAGAACCUUACCAGGUCUUGACAUCGUAUGCAUAGCUCAGAGAUGAGUGAAAUCUCUUCGGAGACAUAUAGACAGGUGGUGCAUGGUUGUCGUCAGCUCGUGUCGUGAGAUGUUGGGUUAAGUCCCGCAACGAGCGCAACCCUUACUGUUAGUGCUACGCAAGA
RNAcentral lists this ribosomal RNA (204 nucleotides) under uncultured bacterium. RNAcentral's name for it is "partial 16S ribosomal RNA". It matches the Rfam family "Bacterial small subunit ribosomal RNA", at positions 924 to 1128 of the family's 1533-position model. The record is from RNAcentral.